CUGGCUCAGGAUGAACGCUGGCGGCGUGCCUAACACAUGCAAGUCGAACGAAGCGCCUCGCCCGACGAAGUGGAGUGCUUGCACAAAGCGGAAUCAAUUGAGGCGACUUAGUGGCGGACGGGUGAGUAACGCGUGGGUAACCUGCCUUAUACAGGGGGAUAACAGUUAGAAAUGACUGCUAAUACCGCAUAAGCGCACAGUAUCGCAUGAUACGGUGUGAAAAACUCCGGUGGUAUAAGAUGGACCCGCGUCUGAUUAGCCAGUUGGCAGGGUAACGGCCUAUUAAAGCGACGAUCAGUAGCCGGCCUGAGAGGGUGAACGGCCACAUUGGGACUGAGACACGGCCCAAACUCCUACGGGAGGCAGCAGUGGGGGAUAUUGCACAAUGGGGGAAACCCUGAUGCCAGCGACGCCGCGUGAAGGAUGAAGUAUUUCGGUAUGUAAACUUCUAUCAGCAAGGAAGAAAAUGACGGUACUUGACUAAGAAGCCCCGGCUAAAUACGUGCCAGCCGCUGC
RNAcentral lists this ribosomal RNA (516 nucleotides) under uncultured bacterium. RNAcentral's name for it is "bacterial SSU rRNA". It matches the Rfam family "Bacterial small subunit ribosomal RNA", at positions 19 to 518 of the family's 1533-position model. The record is from RNAcentral.